Molecule: long non-coding RNA, 1529 nt
Organism: Triticum dicoccoides
Lineage: Eukaryota; Viridiplantae; Streptophyta; Magnoliopsida; Poales; Poaceae
Exons: 3
Source: RefSeq, a predicted model, not a curated record
GCUGUAGCUUCCCCCGGCAUCCCCAAGCCGUUGCAGUAGUGGCGUGUUGGGGUUCAUCGGCGAACAUCCCCCAACGGCGCUCAUGCUCGAAGGGGGCUUGCCAUGUUCAACCCCAUCUCCGGCGAUUGGCUCCUCGCCCACAUCAGCCGCGUGGUCCUCGACGACGACGCCCUCGCGCUCCUCCUCCUCCUCCGCCUCGACAAGACUCUCUCCAGCCUCUCGCUCCACCUCCUCGCACACUCCUGCAGCAAAUGAAAAAUUCUCAGGCGUCAACAGCAUGCCAGAAAGAUUGAGGCUGUCUUUUAUAUGUGUGGGCAUGCAGUUGCUACUUUGAGGUGGCAGUUUUCUGCUAUAAAUUGCAGCUGAAGCAUGGAAUGUCUUACCAGUGGAUGGUAACGUUGUGAGAUGCAUGGUUGACGACCUUGACAAGAACAUUAUCGCCUUCCCUUGCAUAGAGGGUCGGCCCCGGGAACUUGCCAUUAACAGUGAGGAUGGACUUGGUUGAGCAAAGCCGUGUCAUGUUCCUCAUAACCACCUGCACGAGUGAAACCAUGGUAAACCAUCACGGCAGCCUGAGUUCUGUAGCCGCCUCAUGGUGUAAGGGUGGCCGUUUUGUCUUUUUUUAUUGGCGCUGGGCCAGAUUGGUUUUCACAGUAUUAUGUUGCAUCAGAAAGGAAAAUGACAUUUCGAAAUUAUGGCAAAGAAAGCAUUGUACUCCAUAUCGGGUUGUGUAAAGAGUGGUGCAAUGCUAUACGACCCUGGCUACAUGCAGAAAAGAGUCAUUAGCUAUUUAUUGCUCCUCCGUGUCGGGUGAUGGCAUGGACGCUGAGAGCCUGAAGCAGGAAGCAGCUGGCCAUGAGGGGGAGGAGCAGCUGAUCAAGACGGCGAGGCAUGGCCAUGCUGCCUGGCACUGGCAGAGCUACCUGAUCGGAGGAGACAAGGACGAACGACGAUGCCUGUGAGUCGAGACAGUGCAGUAUGCCUGGUUGCAUGGAAUGACAGGCCGGGCGACGCAUGGUUUUAAUGGCCCAGGGAGGGGGCUGGGGCGGUGUUGGGUUUCUAGCUGCCAUGUCGUUUUUCAUUUUAGGUGAGAAACCCUUGCUUGGCAAGGCUGGCUAGCUGUGCUGGGAAUUGUGCAGAUUGCAGGUAAUUUCUUCUUGUGUUUUCACCUGCAGAUAUGCAAAGGUAGCUCCCAGUUGCACCCAGCUAACUCCUUUACAUACUAGUACAAAUGAGUAGCCAUCUGCAGGACUUGCAGUGCAUCUACCUUUAUCGAUUUGGAGUUUGGUUCCACGUACCUGUCUCUGCUCACUGGGAAGAGCACUUGUGCUGUUAACCAGCCAGUGCUGUAGCUAGUACGGGUGUCGGUUAAUAGCCAUCAAUCUUUAAGUAACUUGCAGUCCACUUCCAUGUAGUACAACGUAUGUAUGUUAUGUAGUACAAGCAACCCAAAGCUGCAUGCACUGAGCCUUAUAGCCUAGCACUAGCGCAGGCAGAAUAAACACGGCUCCUCGGUUAAUUUAGUGGUC